UGCAGUCGAGGGGUACAGGGAAGCUUGCUUCCGCUGACGACCGGCGCACGGGUGCGUAACGCGUAUAGAAUCUACCUUAUACUGGAGGAUAGCCCGAAGAAAUUCGGAUUAAUACUCCAUAACAUUCAGAUACUGCAUAGUAUUUGACUUAAAGUUUCGGCGGUAUAAGAUGACUAUGCGUCCCAUUAGCUAGUUGGUAAGGUAACGGCUUACCAAGGCAACGAUGGGUAGGGGGCCUGAGAGGGUUAUCCCCCACACUGGUACUGAGACACGGACCAGACUCCUACGGGAGGCAGCAGUGAGGAAUAUUGGUCAAUGGAGGCAACUCUGAACCAGCCAUGCCGCGUGCAGGAUGACGGCCCUAUGGGUUGUAAACUGCUUUUAUAUGGGAAGAAACCCCUCUACGUGUAGAGGGCUGACGGUACCAUACGAAUAAGCAUCGGCUAACUCCGUGCCAGCAGCCGCGGUAAUACG
This 474-nucleotide ribosomal RNA is filed under the name uncultured organism. RNAcentral describes it as "bacterial SSU rRNA". It matches the Rfam family "Bacterial small subunit ribosomal RNA", at positions 56 to 527 of the family's 1533-position model. The record is from RNAcentral.